AGAGUUUGAUCAUGGCUCAGAUUGAACGCUGGCGGCAUGCCUUACACAUGCAAGUCGAACGCGAAAGGGGGGCAACCCCCGAGUAGAGUGGCGAACGGGUGAGUAAUACAUCGGAACGUGUCCAGUAGCGGGGGAUAACCUCUCGAAAGAGAGGCUAAUACCGCAUACGACCUACGGGUGAAAGAGGGGGAUCGCAAGACCUCUCACUAUUGGAGCGGCCGAUGUCGGAUUAGCUAGUUGGCGGGGUAACGGCCCACCAAGGCGACGAUCCGUAGCUGGUCUGAGAGGACGACCAGCCACACUGGAACUGAGACACGGUCCAGACUCCUACGGGAGGCAGCAGUGGGGAAUUUUGGACAAUGGGCGCAAGCCUGAUCCAGCCAUGCCGCGUGAGUGAGGAAGGCCUUCGGGUUGUAAAGCUCUUUCGGCGGGGACGAAAAGGUCCGUGCUAACACCAUGGAUCCAUGACGGUACCCGCAGAAGAAGCACCGGCUAACUACGUGCCAGCAGCCGCGGUAAUACGUAGGGUGCAGGCGUUAAUCGGAAUUACUGGGCGUAAAGCGUGCGCAGGCGGUCUAUUAAGACAGGUGUGAAAUCCCCGGGCUUAACCUGGGAACUGCGCUUGUAACUGAUAGGCUGGAGUGUGGCAGAGGGGGGUGGAAUUCCACGUGUAGCAGUGAAAUGCGUAGAGAUGUGGAGGAACACCGAUGGCGAAGGCAGCCCCCUGGGCUAACACUGACGCUCAUGCACGAAAGCGUGGGG
RNAcentral lists this ribosomal RNA (762 nucleotides) under uncultured Derxia sp. RNAcentral's name for it is "bacterial SSU rRNA". It matches the Rfam family "Bacterial small subunit ribosomal RNA", at positions 8 to 766 of the family's 1533-position model. Lineage: Bacteria; Pseudomonadati; Pseudomonadota; Betaproteobacteria; Burkholderiales; Alcaligenaceae. The record is from RNAcentral.